UGUUGAUCUGCGCAUGGGCGAAAGCCUGACGCAGCAACGCCGCGUGGGGGAUGAAGCUUCUCGGAGUGUAAACCCCUUUCGACCCGGACGAAUGCCCGCAAGGGCUUGACGGUACGGGUAUAAGAAGCCCCGGCUAACUACGUGCCAGCAGCCGCGGUAAAACGUAGGGGGCCAGCGUUGCUCGGAAUUACUGGGCGUAAAGGGUCCGUAGGCGGUGCGGCAAGUCGGAAGUGAAAUCUCCGGGCUUAACCCAGAGGCUGCUUCCGAAACUGCCGUGCUAGAGUGCGAGAGAGGCGAGUGGAAUUGCGGGUGUAGCGGUGAAAUGCGUAGAUAUCCGCAGGAACAUCCGAGGCGAAGGCGGCUCGCUGGAUCGCAACUGACGCUGAGGGACGAAAGCUAGGGGAGCAAACAGGAUUAGAUACCCUGGUAGUCCUAGCCCUAAACCAUCAGGACUUGGGGUUUGCCCUGUACGGGGCAAGUCCCGUAGCUAACGCGUUAAGUCCUGCGCCUGGGGAAUACGUCGCAG
This 526-nucleotide ribosomal RNA is filed under the name uncultured Acidobacteriota bacterium. Its description in RNAcentral is "bacterial SSU rRNA". It matches the Rfam family "Bacterial small subunit ribosomal RNA", at positions 356 to 891 of the family's 1533-position model. The record is from RNAcentral. Lineage: Bacteria; Pseudomonadati; Acidobacteriota.